UUUUCGCCUGGGGCGAAAAGAAAACAGAGAGCCCCCUUUUCCUGCUUCAAAUUUCGCCCGGGGCACGGGUUUUUUCGCCCGGGGCAAAAAAACAGCAGAUUAGUGUUUUUUCCACGUUUUCAAGGCAAUUCCCAACAAUCUCCACCUUGCCUUUAAAACGAUGGUGAUGCCAACUUCCCAUCAACCACCGUGCUGCUCUCUCCACUUGUUUACACCACACCCUCUUCGGCCCCCGGAGUCUAUCUCUCCGUACUCCCGAAAGAUGCUUGUCUCCAAUUGCCCUUGGAUUUUUAGGACAAUACACAAGCUAAACCAUACCCUCUUCAAACCUCGGAUUAUAGCUUUCCGUACUCUUGAAGAUAUGCUUGCCUCCAACCAACCUUGGAAUUUUUAGGUGGUUUCACAAGCUACAGCCUCAAACUCUCCUUGUGUCCAACUACCUCCAGCAGUCUAACAAGUUACCAAGCUUGAUCACCAUUGCUUCCACACAAGGUCUUCAUAGCCAUACCACUUUGGUAUACCUUCACCUCAAACCGAGAUUCCUCCACCAAAGCCUUAAACCGGUAUAUCCACUAUGUCUUCCACCUUGUAACUGAGUAUUCUUACCACCGCCUCUCCAGGCUGAUGUUGAGUAUUAUUCCACCGCCUCUCCANNNNNNNNNNNNNNNNNAGGCUGAUGUUGAGUAUUAUUACCACCGCCUCUCCAGGCUGAUCAGCAAGCUAUGAGUGUCAACUGGUGACUAUGAGUGCUCCCGCACUCGCAUAGCCUUCCUCCUCAUCAACGGCAACAUGAGCUGACGAACUACCACUGCCCCUUCUCCGAGGAC
RNAcentral lists this long non-coding RNA (827 nucleotides) under Trifolium pratense (red clover). Its description in RNAcentral is "long non-coding RNA (TPRA_LNC002128)". Lineage: Eukaryota; Viridiplantae; Streptophyta; Magnoliopsida; Fabales; Fabaceae. The record is from RNAcentral.